UAGUUGAGCUGUGGGAUGGCACCUUAGAAUGAGUCCUUCAGGACAACACAAAUCGAAUACUAUCAUCAAUGACAAGUUUUCAAUUCGCCAGUGGCUGCCGUGUGGCCAUGAUAAGGAACAAUUAAGAUGUAAAAAUCCUAAACGGGGAUGAAGCAAACUAACAAGAUGGUCAUCUGGCCAUAGUGCAUUUAUAAGUAAUAGCAAGAGACUGGAACAUGUAACGAUGCCAUGUGCAUUGACUGUAAUAUUAUUAUUAUCGCCGCAUGCAAAGGGAUCUGGGCGACGAUAGGAAACACGUAAACUAGCAUAAGUAAAUUGUAUGUUAGUUAAGGUUUUAAUGCUAAGGACCUAAACUAAAGUUAAAACGGCACUAGAGCAUAAAGAAGUAACGAAUAAGGGUAGAGACAGGCUUGAUGAUGGUAGAGCAAAGGAAGAGAGGCGAAAAUGUUUACAGUGGAAAUUGCUGAGUCUUGAGGAGUAUAUCUCUCCUACACGAUGGGUCAGCAGGUUAUCCUGUCUACUACCGUCCGUGGCAGUCUCAGGAUAGAGGAGAGGGACAGAAGGGAGCAGGGUGUUAUAGAAGUAACAUCAUGGGCUGAGCUUGCUUCAGGCAGUUAUACACACGCACACACGCACUCCAUAUUAGCGCUCACAGGACCCGCAACACCAGAGCAGAUGAGUGAUGCUUACCUGGAGCCUGGUUGUUCACAUACUGCCCCACAUUAAGAGGGUUGAUGGGCCAGUCAGUGAGCCAGGUAAGGUCUGCAGCUUCCUCAAGUCCCAUUCGGUCUCUGCCGCAGCAGGACCUGAAAACCACCAAGCAUCACCACCUUUACCAAUUGUGACACAUAUAUGUAUGGUCAUAAUAAACCAUAGAUAUUCAGAGAAUAAAUGCCCAGAAAAACAUUACAACUUUACAAGGAUUUAUAAAAACAGAUUGUAUAUUUAGAGCAAGUAUAGAAAAAAAGUAAUAUCAACUCAGAGAGAGACAUGAUGUUGCAUAGGUGUAGAUGCAUGCAUGAUACUUGGAGGAUUUUCAUGGUAUGCUAACCAUUCACCUGAAUAUGGUACCAGAAAGGCCCCUGCGGCACCCAUCCACAAGCACUCCGUCAGCACACCGCAGGAUAAAAGGAUUAGCCAGGCUAGGCAGGAGCACUGGCUGAUGUGGCAGAUAGAGGCCACCAGGAUACAAGGCCACCAGCUGCCCCCGACUGGCACCCUUAUGGCCCUUCAGCACCACACCACUGCCAAGCCCUGCGAUGUCACUUGGAGCCACGUGAACCGAAUAACCAAACAGCGACUCCAUCACCUGCCGAUGUAAUGGGCACGGUGACUGCAGCCUUGGACCAUGUGAGGGGGUGGGCGUGGGGGCAAGGGUGGACACACUUGCUGCAGGCCGGUGAUGAGUCUGAAGAGCUGCUCCACCACCUCCUCCUCCCCCACCACCUUAUCCCCCUCAUCGCCUUCCUCCUUCACCACACGCACUGUCCUGCAGAGUGAGUAAGGCCUCGGAACCGGACCCACUGCCUACCUGCCUGCUCCGGUCCCGCUAGCUCUAUCAUUACACAACAGUUUUCUUUCUGGAACAUGUCUUUUAAAUUUUACCUUUGAUGGACUUCUCACCGAUCUUCUCAGUAUAAAAAAUGGAUGGAACUGUAAAGGUAACAAACACCGAGCCAGCAACUGUGUGUUCUUAAGGCAGUAAGACCUUAAGAACAGGGAAAUGAGGGAAGCUACAAGAGGCCAUCCCUGUAUACAAUACGAGUAAUAGAAUAUACACCUCUUUCCACCAAAGAUUCCCAUCUAAUUAUUUCUGUAAUUUUCCUUUCAAAACUCCCUAAUGACUCGGUACGUACUACAUCAUUAUUAACCUCUUCAGUACCAUGACGCGUUUCC
This is a long non-coding RNA of Portunus trituberculatus (swimming crab), 1896 nucleotides long. RefSeq lists it as uncharacterized. NCBI's taxonomy places the organism in Eukaryota, Metazoa, Arthropoda, Malacostraca, Decapoda, Portunidae. The transcript is spliced from 4 exons. The record is from RefSeq and is a predicted model, not a curated record.